CCAAUAGCGUAUAUUAAAGUUGUUGCAGUUAAAAAGCUCGUAGUUGAAUUUCGGAAUCUGUUCGUUGGUCGGGCUUAAUUGUCCGUACUGAUGUGAUGGGUUCUUACCUUCUGAAUAACUAGCAUGCCAUUAAUUUGGUGUGUUGGGGAAGCAGGACUAUUACCUUGAAAAAAUUAGAGUGCUCAAAGCAGGCUAGCGCCUGAAUACAUUAGCAUGGAAUAAUAAAAUAGGACGGAAUGGUUCUAUUUUGUUGGUUUCUAGGAUCACCGUAAUGAUUAAUAGGGAUAGUUGGGGGCAUUAGUAUUCAAUUGUCAGAGGUGAAAUUCUUGGAUUUAUUGAAGACUAACUUCUGCGAAAGCAUUUGCCAAGGAUGUUUUCAUUAAUCAAGAACGAAAGUUAGGGGAUCGAAGACGAUCAGAUACCGUCGUAGUCUUAACCAUAAACUAUACCGACUAGGGAUCGGACGAUGUUAAUUUUAUAAUGACUCGUUCGGCGCCUUACG
This 502-nucleotide ribosomal RNA is filed under the name uncultured Glomeromycotina. Its description in RNAcentral is "partial small subunit ribosomal RNA". It matches the Rfam family "Eukaryotic small subunit ribosomal RNA", at positions 591 to 1092 of the family's 1831-position model. Lineage: Eukaryota; Fungi; Glomeromycota. The record is from RNAcentral.